RNAcentral lists this ribosomal RNA (444 nucleotides) under uncultured bacterium. RNAcentral's name for it is "partial 16S ribosomal RNA". It matches the Rfam family "Bacterial small subunit ribosomal RNA", at positions 354 to 796 of the family's 1533-position model. The record is from RNAcentral.
GUGAGGAAUAUUGGUCAAUGGACGAGAGUCUGAACCAGCCAAGUAGCGUGAAAGAUGACUGCCCUAUGGGUUGUAACUUCUUUUAUAAGGGAAUAAAGUGAGGGACGUGUCCCUUUUUGUAUGUACCUUAUGAAUAAGGAUCGGCUAACUCCGUGCCAGCAGCCGCGGUAAUACGGAGGAUCCAAGCGUUAUCCGGAUUUAUUGGGUUUAAAGGGAGCGUAGGUUGACAUAUAAGUCAGCUGUGAAAGUUUACGGCUCAACCGUGAAAUUGCAGUUGAUACUGUAUGUCUUGAGUGUACAAGAGGUGGGCGGAAUUCGUGGUGUAGCGGUGAAAUGCUUAGAUAUCACGAAGAACUCCAAUUGCGAAGGCAGCUCACUGGGGUACAACUGACACUGAGGCUCGAAAGUGUGGGUAUCAAACAGGAUUAGAAACCCGGGUAGUCC